Molecule: ribosomal RNA, 445 nt
Filed under: uncultured archaeon
Lineage: Archaea
Description: bacterial SSU rRNA
Rfam family: Archaeal small subunit ribosomal RNA
Source: RNAcentral
AUAGCUCAACUAUUAGGCUUCGGGGGAUACUGCCAGACUGGAACCGGGAGAGGUAAGAGGUACUACAGGGGUAGGAGUGAAAUCUUGUAAGUCCCUGUGGGACCACCUGUGGCGAAGGCGUCUUACCAGAACGGGUUCGACGGUGAGGGACGAAAGCUGGGGGCACGAACCGGAUUAGAUACCCGGGUAGUCCCAGCCGUAAACGAUGCUCGCUAGGUGUCAGGCAUGGCGCGACCGUGUCUGGUGCCGCAGGGAAGCCGUGAAGCGAGCCACCUGGGAAGUACGGCCGCAAGGCUGAAACUUAAAGGAAUUGGCGGGGGAGCACAACAACGGGUGGGAAGCCUGCGGUUUAAUUGGACUCAACGCCGGACAACUCACCGGGGGCGACAGCAAUAUGUAGGCCAAGCUGAAGACUUUGCCUGAAUCGCUGAGUGGUGGUGCAUGG